AUGUAUACUUGUGCCAUGUUGGUGUGCUGCACCCAUCAACUCGUCAUUUACGUCAGGUAUAACUCCCAAUGCAAUCCCUCCCCCCUCCCACCUCCCCAUGAUAGGCCCCGGUGUGUGAUGUUCCCCUUCCUGAGUCCAAGUGAUCUCAUUGUUCAGUUCCCACCUAUGAGUGAGAACAUGCGGUGUGUGAUGUUCCCCUUCCUGAGUCCAAGUGAUCUCAUUGUUCAGUUCCCACCUAUGAGUGAGAACAUGCGGUGUUUGGUUUUCUGUUCUUGUGAUAGUUUGCUAAGAAUGAUGGUUUCCAGCUGCAUCCAUGUCCCUACAAAGGACGCAAACUCAUCCUUUUUUAUGGCUGCAUAGUAUUCCAUGGUGUAUAUGUGCCACAUUUUCUUAAUCCAAUCUGUCACUGAUGGACAUCUCCCUCUAAGCCUUUUUAAGAAUUACCCCAGUGGGGAAAAAGAGGAACCUUAGCACAGCAGGGUAAAGUUGGAAGUCAAGGCUUUCAAUUUGGUCUUUGACAACAGUGAUAAUAAUGGGGCAUGCUUGGUUCAUGGUGUUUGGGUAGAGUGUCUAUUCUCUGAAGGUUUACUGUCUGAGCUGGAUGCCCCUUUCUUGGUCCUUUGCCUAGAAAGAGCAGGUUCCUUUGGCAUUUUUUCUUUGUUGUCUGUACUCAAUGUUUGCAGAUUGUUGGCUUCCUCAGCAUCCAGCAUGGAAUGUAUUAGGCAAAAUGUAGACUCAGGAAAAUAAAUACAGGGUAACCACCCAGGCUGCUGUAAGGCCUGCCUUUUCCUCUCUAUCUUUCAGAGUCUUCUUAACUUUGUUUUAUGUGUAAUAUGCAGAGUUUUAAUUAGGGAGGAAUGUAUCUACCCUAUCAUGUCUGGAGACUAGGAUCAUAUACAGUGACAGCAACUUUAACAAAUAUAAAUUAUUUGAAUUCUUCCAUUUAAAUGCUGUAAAUUAGAGUCAUAUAGUUAGAAUGUAGUGGAGGAGCAGAUCGAACUCUAAACUUGUCCUAACAUCUAAGUAUUUUCAGAAAAGGAAUAAUCAAUGAAUGAGACUGAAUACAAAUGUCUAGUAAGGAAGUGGCUAAAACCCGAAUGAAGAGGCAUCAUGGAAACUAAGAUACAUGUGUUUUUCAUCAGUGCAGGAAUGGUCAACUGUCAAUGGUGCUGAAAUAUUGAACUAGAAUAAGCACUAAGAAUUGACCAUUGUAUAUUGAUUAACAAAAUUAUUAGUGAUCCUAUCAGAAACAAUUUUGGAGUAGUAGGCUUGGAAACAUUUAAAUGGCUUAAAAACUGAAUGUCAAAGACAAAACUGUUAAGACAGUAAAAAGAUGAGUGGUUGUCAGGAGUUAAGGGAGGGGAAGUAAUAGUUCAGCAGAGCACAGAGGAUUUUUAAGGCAGUGAAAUUAUUC
This 1414-nucleotide long non-coding RNA is filed under the name Papio anubis (olive baboon). Its description in RNAcentral is "lncRNA (ENSPANG00000046192.1)". Lineage: Eukaryota; Metazoa; Chordata; Mammalia; Primates; Cercopithecidae. The record is from RNAcentral.